AGGAUAAACGCUGGCGGCGUGCAUGAGACAUGCAAGUCAAACGGACGAUCGGGGUUCGCUCUGAUCGUUAGUGGCGAACGGGUGAGUAACGCGUUGGUGACCUACCCCAAAGUGUGGAAUAACAGUCCGAAAGGAUUGCUAAUACCGCAUGUGGUUAUCGGAUUUAGAAACUGAUAACUAAAGGAGCAAUUCGCUUUGGGAGGGACCUGCGUCCCAUCAGCUAGUUGGUGAGGUAACGGCUCACCAAGGCUACGACGGGUAGGGGACCUGAGAGGGUGACCCCCCACAAUGGAACUGAAACACGGUCCAUACACCUACGGGUGGCAGCAGUAGGGAAUAUUGCACAAUGGGCGAAAGCCUGAUGCAGCAACGCCGCGUGUGCGAUGAAGGCCUUGGGUCGUAAAGCACUUUUCUGAGAGAUGAGAAAGGACAGUAUCUCAGGAAUAAGUCUCGGACUAACCGACGUGCCAGCACGCCGC
This 479-nucleotide ribosomal RNA is filed under the name uncultured bacterium. RNAcentral describes it as "SSU rRNA". It matches the Rfam family "Bacterial small subunit ribosomal RNA", at positions 26 to 518 of the family's 1533-position model. The record is from RNAcentral.